UACGUAGGUGGCAAGCGUUGUCCGGAUUUAUUGGGCGUAAAGGGAGCGCAGGUGGUUUCUUAAGUCUGAUGUGAAAGCCCACGGCUCAACCGUGGAGGGUCAUUGGAAACUGGGAAACUUGAGUACAGAAGAGGAAAGUGGAAUUCCAUGUGUAGCGGUGGAAUGCGUAGAUAUAUGGAGGAACACCAGUGGCGAAGGCGACUCUCUGGUCUGUAACUGACGCUGAGGCUCGAAAGCGUGGGGAGCAAACAGG
Molecule: ribosomal RNA, 253 nt
Filed under: uncultured bacterium
Lineage: Bacteria
Description: partial 16S ribosomal RNA
Rfam family: Bacterial small subunit ribosomal RNA
Source: RNAcentral